RNAcentral lists this ribosomal RNA (301 nucleotides) under uncultured bacterium. RNAcentral's name for it is "partial 16S ribosomal RNA". It matches the Rfam family "Bacterial small subunit ribosomal RNA", at positions 509 to 807 of the family's 1533-position model. The record is from RNAcentral.
CAGUCGCCGCGGGAAUACGGAGGGAGCUAGCGUUGUUCGGAAUUACUGGGCGUAAAGCGCACGUAGGCGGCUUUGUAAGUUAGAGGUGAAAGCCUGGAGCUCAACUCCAGAACUGCUUUUAAGACUGCAUCGCUUGAAUCCAGGAGAGGUGAGUGGAAUUCCGAGUGUAGAGGUGAAAUUCGUAGAUAUUCGGAAGAACACCAGUGGCGAAGGCGGCUCACUGGACUGGUAUUGACGCUGAGGUGCGAAAGCGUGGGGAGCAAACAGGAUUAGAUACCCGCGUAGUCCCUGUCUCUUAUAC